This 454-nucleotide ribosomal RNA is filed under the name uncultured bacterium. Its description in RNAcentral is "bacterial SSU rRNA". It matches the Rfam family "Bacterial small subunit ribosomal RNA", at positions 923 to 1377 of the family's 1533-position model. The record is from RNAcentral.
GCACAAGCGGUGGAGCAUGUGGUUUAAUUCGACGCAACGCGAAGAACCUUACCUGGGCUCGAAAUGUAGUGGAAUCCGGUAGAAAUAUCGGCGUCUAGCAAUAGACCGCUAUAUAGGUGCUGCAUGGCUGUCGUCAGCUCGUGUCGUGAGAUGUUGGGUUAAGUCCCGCAACGAGCGCAACCCUUAUCUCCAGUUGCUACCAUUUAGUUGAGCACUCUGGCGAAACCGCCUCGGAUAACGGGGAGGAAGGUGGGGAUGACGUCAAGUCCUCAUGGCCUUUAUGUCCAGGGCUACACACGUGCUACAAUGGCCGGUACAAACCGCUGCAAACCCGCGAGGGGGAGCUAAUCGGAAAAAGCCGGCCUCAGUUCGGAUUGGAGUCUGCAACUCGACUCCAUGAAGCUGGAAUCGCUAGUAAUCGUGGAUCAGCAUGCCACGGUGAAUACGUUCCCGG